UCCCUGGUGGCUCAGGCGGUAAAGCAUCUGCCUACAAUGCAGGAGACUCGGGUUCAAUCCCUGGGUUGGGAA
Molecule: non-coding RNA, 72 nt
Organism: Bos taurus (domestic cattle)
Lineage: Eukaryota; Metazoa; Chordata; Mammalia; Artiodactyla; Bovidae
Source: Rfam